This 583-nucleotide ribosomal RNA is filed under the name Enterobacter asburiae. RNAcentral's name for it is "bacterial SSU rRNA". It matches the Rfam family "Bacterial small subunit ribosomal RNA", at positions 555 to 1139 of the family's 1533-position model. Lineage: Bacteria; Pseudomonadati; Pseudomonadota; Gammaproteobacteria; Enterobacterales; Enterobacteriaceae. The record is from RNAcentral.
UGGGCGUAAGCGCACGCAGGCGGUCUGUCAAGUCGGAUGUGAAAUCCCCGGGCUCAACCUGGGAACUGCAUUCGAAACUGGCAGGCUAGAGUCUUGUAGAGGGGGGUAGAAUUCCAGGUGUAGCGGUGAAAUGCGUAGAGAUCUGGAGGAAUACCGGUGGCGAAGGCGGCCCCCUGGACAAAGACUGACGCUCAGGUGCGAAAGCGUGGGGAGCAAACAGGAUUAGAUACCCUGGUAGUCCACGCCGUAAACGAUGUCGACUUGGAGGUUGUGCCCUUGAGGCGUGGCUUCCGGAGCUAACGCGUUAAGUCGACCGCCUGGGGAGUACGGCCGCAAGGUUAAAACUCAAAUGAAUUGACGGGGGCCCGCACAAGCGGUGGAGCAUGUGGUUUAAUUCGAUGCAACGCGAAGAACCUUACCUACUCUUGACAUCCAGAGAACUUUCCAGAGAUGGAUUGGUGCCUUCGGGAACUCUGAGACAGGUGCUGCAUGGCUGUCGUCAGCUCGUGUUGUGAAAUGUUGGGUUAAGUCCCGCAACGAGCGCAACCCUUAUCCUUUGUUGCCAGCGGUUAGGCCGGGAACU